Molecule: ribosomal RNA, 460 nt
Filed under: uncultured bacterium
Lineage: Bacteria
Description: partial 16S ribosomal RNA
Rfam family: Bacterial small subunit ribosomal RNA
Source: RNAcentral
CCUACGGGGGGCAGCAGUGAGGAAUAUUGGUCAAUGGACGAGAGUCUGAACCAGCCAAGUAGCGUGAAUGAUGACUGCCCUCUGGGCUGUAAACUUCUUUUAUAUGGGAAUAAAAUGUUCAACGUGGGGGAUUUUGUCUGUACCAUAUUAAUAAGGAUCGGCUAACUCCGUGUCAGCAGCCGCGGUAAUACGGAGGAUUCGAGCGUUAUCCGGAUUUAUUGGGUUUAAAGGGAGCGUAGGGGGAUUGUUAAGUCAGUUGUGAAAGUUUUGGGCUCAACCGUAAGAUUGCUGUUGAUACUGGCAGUCUUGAGUACAGGAGAGGAGGGCGGAAUUCGAGGUGUAGCGGUGAAAUGCGUAGAUAUCACGAGGAACACCGAUUGCGAAGGCAGCUCACUGGACUGCAACUGACACUGAGGCUCGAAAGUGUGGGUAUCAAACAGGAUUAGAUACCCUGGUAGUC